This 253-nucleotide ribosomal RNA is filed under the name uncultured bacterium. Its description in RNAcentral is "partial 16S ribosomal RNA". It matches the Rfam family "Bacterial small subunit ribosomal RNA", at positions 524 to 776 of the family's 1533-position model. The record is from RNAcentral.
UACAGAGGGUGCGAGCGUUAAUCGGAAUUACUGGGCGUAAAGCGCGCGUAGGCGGUUUUGUAAGUCGGGUGUGAAAUCCCCAGGCUCAACCUGGGAACUGCAUUCGAGACUGCAUAGCUAGAGUAUGGGAGAGGGAAGUGGAAUUUCAGGUGUAGCGGUGAAAUGCGUAGAUAUCUGAAGGAACAUCAGUGGCGAAAGCGACUUCCUGGACCAAUACUGACGCUCAUGUGCGAAAGCGUGGGGAGCAAACAGG